CCAGUUACUCCUGUUAUUUUUAUUUUACUAUUUUUAUUCCAUGAUUUUAUUAAGAAAUUUUUAAAAAUUGUUAUAUCACUUCCUGUAUCAAUUAAGGCACAAGUUGUUAUGUUUGUUUCUACUAUAGUAACUUGUAUAUAUACUGCCAAUGGAAAACUAAUUUGAUUAUUCAUCCACUUCCUAUUCUACAUAAUGUAGUUUGUCCUUUAUGAGUUAUAUAUAAUCCUUCUCUUUUUAUACUAUAAUCUUCUAAUCCAUUUAAGAAACUCAUUCCUAAUAAUAUAUGAGGUUCAAUAUCCAUACUUUCAUCCAAAUAACAUGGUACUAAAAGAUCAAUCCCACCUAUUUUUAUUGGUACUUUUACCUUUAAUUCUGUAACAUAUAGCUGUCCAUCAAAAUUCCUGUAUUCAUAUGGUUCUAUCUUGUAAGUCAUUAAUCCUUCAUUUUUAUUUGCAGCCAUAUGACAUUCACCAGCUCCUGUAUCUAUUAAUAUAUUUGGUCCUUUUAUAUAUCUUCUACCAUUGAAAUAU
Molecule: long non-coding RNA, 530 nt
Filed under: Olea europaea subsp. europaea
Lineage: Eukaryota; Viridiplantae; Streptophyta; Magnoliopsida; Lamiales; Oleaceae
Source: RNAcentral